CUCUCUGGGCAUGAUUCAGGACCCCCAAGACCCAUAUUUUAGGAAUGCUGCAGGGACCCUUCACUAUGUGCUCUCCAAAGCCCCAAAGCAGAGCCAGAACAAACCAGUCGGCCCCAGCCCUGCUGCACAGCCCCCAUCAGGUGCGGUCCCUUUAAGUGCUGCCCCCUUGGCUGCCAUUGGGGGCAGCACUGAGCGGUCAGGCCAGGAUCAGCGCUGCUGCCUGGAAGCUUCUGCCGGUGCCUGGGCGCAGCAGUGCGGGGGAUACAGAGGACUCGCUUGGGUUUGUGCAGCCCACCCAGGAUUGGAGCAACAACCAGGAAUCUCUGAGGUCAGCAUGGGUACCUCUAAAGCCGGCAUGGAGCAAGCGCCUGCGGCCUUGGCAAAGGCCUGCAGCCAGGGUUGCUUCACCCCCUGCGCCCCAGGGCUAAAGCCCCAAAAGGCCGCGUGAGCUGGAGCCGCCAGCCUGGGGACGUCUUUUAAGAUGACCCGCACGGACCCACCGGACCUGCUGGUGUCGACCGUGUACCAGGACAUCAAGGUGGCGGCGCCGGGGCCCGCGUCCAGGCGCCAGCCAUGUGAGCGAUCCGUGGCCCGGCCCGCUGCGCCCGCGCCUUUCAACAAGCGCCACUGUCGCAGCUUCGAUUUCCUGGAGGCGCUGGACGGGCCGGCCAUGGAGGCCCACCCGGAGCCUCCACCCCCAGAGCCUGCCGCUCCGCGCGCGCGGCCCCGAGAAGGCGAGCCUCGGCGCCGCGCCCGCUCCAAGAGCGCGCCCCGCGCGCCCCCGGGCCUGGCACCUGCGCCCACCUCGCCGCCGGUGCUGCAGCGCCGAGGCCGGGAAACUCAGCGAGCCGUGCGAGUAGAGGGGUCGCCUCGCCGAGAGCCCGCGUACCCCGCGCUGCGCGCGCUCGCCAACGAGCUGCAUCCUAUUAAGCUGCAGCCACAACGGAGCGGCCCUGGCCGCAUCGCGCCCCUGUGUGCCGCCCCUGGCCGCUGCGCGCCACCAGAGCCCCCCACGGGGCCUGUCCCCCAUGUCCGCUGCCGUCUGGACAUCAAGCCAGAUGAUGCUGUGCUGCAGCACGCCUCCCGGAGUUCGCGACCUUGCGGGCCGGUGGACGCCGCGUCCUGGGUCCGUGCGGCCCCGCAGUUCCAUGGCCUUACGGUGCCGGGGCCCCGCCACGUGGCGCUUUCGCGUACCCCGACUCCGAGUGACUUGUACUGUGCGGACCCCCGGGCGCUGUACUGCGACGGUCCCCUGCCUGGGCCUCGGGAUUAUUCCGAGCGCCGCAGUCAGCCCUUCGCCACGCCUCCAGGCCCCACACAAUUCUUCUACACCGAGGAGCCCGAGGGCUAUACAGGAGGAUUUCCGGCCAGUCCCGGUCCUCCCUUCGAUGGCUACUGCCCUAGGCCCUACCCGACCGAGGAGACCCGGGGGCCCAGUCCGAGGCGUGGGGGCGGCUACUAUGGAGAAGUGCGCACUUUCCCAAUCCAGGAACCGCCCUCCCGCUCCUACUACGGGGAGGCCCCCAGGGCCUAUGGAUUGCCCUUUGGUCCCCGCUAUGUCCCUGAGGAUCCCCGGGCCCACACCUUCUACACAGAGGACUUCGGGAGGUACCGCGAGCGCGACGUCCUAGCUCGGACUUACCCGCACCCACGCAACAGCUCGGCCUGGGCCGACUGGGGCCCUCGGCCUUACCGCACAUUGCAGGUGGUGCCUCCCUCGGUCCCGGGUCCGCUGCUGGCCUCCUGGCAUGGCGGCACCGGCACCAGUCCACCCCGUCUGGCCACCGACAGCCGCCACUACUCGCGCUCAUGGGACAACAUCCUGGCACCAGGGUCCCGCCGGGAGGACCCCCUGGGCCGAGGCCGCAGCUAUGAGAACCUGCUAGGGCGGGAGGUGCGGGAGCAGCUGGGCGCAUCACCGGAAGGCCGGCGUCCGCCAGUAGUAGUGAACUUAUCCACCUCACCCAGACGCUACGCGGCGCUAUCGCUGUCUGAGACCUCGCUGUCCGAGAAGGGCCGCAUGGGGGAAGGCCUGGGCCGCAACUGGUACGUCACUCCGGAGAUCACCAUCACCGAUAACGACCUGCGCGCCGCCGAGCGCCCGACUGCCAGGGGCUGGGAGCUGCCGGGAGGCCGGCCGCGUGUGCCCGCGUCGGUGGCUCCCACGGGCCCCACCUCUGGCCGCCAGCGCAGCCUAGAGCAGCUGGACGAGCUCAUCACCGAUCUGGUCAUCGACUCGAGGCCACCUGCCGGCCAAGCCCCAGAGCCGUCGGCCGAGGGACUGGGCCGUCAGCUGCGCCACAGCUUACUGGACUCACGAUCCGCGGGCCCUGGAGCCCCGGCUCUGGCGCCACCGCGCUCGCCCCCAGCCUCGGCUGGAAGCGUUGAGGAGCCUGCAGGCCCUGGGGAGGCGGCCAGUGGAUCUCCAGAACCCAGCGCGGACGAGGACGACUUGAUGACCUGCUCCAACGCGCGCUGCCGGCGCACGGAAACCAUGUUCAAUGCCUGCCUCUACUUCAAGUCCUGCCACAGUUGCUACACUUACUACUGCUCGCGCCUGUGCCGCCGCGAGGACUGGGACGCACACAAGGCGCACUGCGUGUACGGCCGCGUAGGCAGCGUGUGCCGCCACGUGCUUCAGUUCUGCCGCGACAGCGGCCCGGUGCAUCGCGCCUUCUCGCGCAUCGCUCGUGUGGGCUUCCUGUCGCGCGGCCGAGGCGUGCUCUUCCUGGGCUUCCCGAGUCCCGGCUCCGCCGACAACUUCCUGCGCUUCGGUCUUGAAGGGCUGCUGUUGUCGCCCACUUACCUGUCGCUGCGCGAGCUGGCUACACACGCAGCGCCCCUAGGCAGCUAUGCGCGAGAGCUGGCGGCCGCAGGGCGGCUCUAUGAGCCGGCCGAAUGUUUCCUGCUCAGUGUGUCGGUGGCGGUAGGUCCUGGCACCGCGCCCCCGGGCGCGCCCGCUCGGCCGGCGCCCGCGCCGCGCAGCACUGGGCCCACCGUGCGUAAGUUCGCCAAGGUGGCACUGGCUGCAGGCAGCCCGGCGAGGCCACCCCCCGCGCGGGGUCGGGAGCCGGACAUGGAAACAUUGAUUCUGACACCGCCACCAGGCACGGCGGGCCUGGACCAGGAAGGCGAAGCGGGCCGGCGCGCGCGUGAGGUGGCCUUCAUCCACAUCCAACGCGAGUUGCGGCUGCGCGGCGUAUUCCUGCGCCACGAGUUCCCGCGCGUCUAUGAGCAGCUCUGCGAGUUCGUCGAGGCCAACCGACGCUUCACACCCACCACCAUCUACCCCACAGACCGGCGCACAGGCCGCCCCUUCAUGUGCAUGAUCAUGGCCGCUUCCGAGCCACGCGCGCUGGACUGGGUGGCCAGCGCCAAUCUGCUGGACGACAUCAUGUGAGGCGUGAGGCAACCAGACCCAAGCCCUGACCAGAGCCCUUGCCUAGCCCACUCAAGCCCCGCCCGGUCCACUCAGGACCGCCCCCGAGCCCCGCCCAGCUCACUCAAUCCGUCCAGGGCCAGACCAGCCCCUCACGCCUCUUCUCCUAAGCCCUGCCCCGACAAAUUCCCCGCUCCUAGCUUCCCUCGUUUUCCUGCACCCAUUGUGCUCUCCCAACUCUUCCUUUCUGCGCAACAAUUCACUGGGCUGCCCAGUUCCCACCUCCCACAGCCAGCCCUCGGGCCCCACAGAAACCGGUCCUCGCCCUCGGUGCUCCCCGCUGGGAGGUGGGGUGGGCCCGAGGACCGCCAGGCUCUGCCUUCUUGCUGAGGGUCACUACUGCACAGACCCGACCCAUGCAAAUGGAUCCAUAUCCCCUGUGGGGCUCUAAUGAAGCCCCUGCUUCCUCCUCCCCCAUGGUCCAGGAGCCUGUGUUGACCAAAGCCUAGUACAGUCGCUUUAAGCUCACCCCGUCUCUGGGUUGCGACUCCCUCAGAGGCCUUUCUCUCUGGAAGACACCCUGGUUAGCCAUUGUGCAUCUGUGUCCCAAGCGAGAAAGCCAUGUGUGAGUGCCAGGUAGGUGGUGGGCAGGGCCAGCGCCUCCCUGUUUGGAGCCUGAGCCCCAGAGGACAGAGCCAGACUCCAAGGUGCUGCCCAUCCUGCAGUCUCUCACCUCUGGCCACCUUGGUCUAGGCCCUGCAGGAGGGGUUGGAUACUCAGAGGCCAAGGGCAAGCCCCCCAGCCAGAGGGGACCUUGGGCAGGAAAAGCAGAGUGAGUGUGGGCAUCUGCCAGAGCUGGUAUCAGGCUUGGUGAGGGCCAGGGGUCUGCCCGUUCCCAACAAGGUGGCCCUAGACAGGUGCCAGGAUAGAACAUGGUGGUGGGCAUGCAAAGGCAGGCCCUAAUCCGGCAAGAGCCCAGAAGCAUGUGCAUAGGAUGGACCAGCUGGGAAGAUAGCACAGAGGCCUUCCAGGAAGCCGCACCUAUCCCCUUCCAAAGGAAGGACCAGGAAGGUCCGGGAAAGUCUCCAGUUACUUGCUGGGCAGAGAAAGAGCAGGAGAGGGUUAGCAGGCCAACAGAGUUCCAACCGAGGAGCUACCGAGCUACGUGACAAGCCCCGGGGUCAGAUCCUUUGAUUGCACACAGGUCCCAGCGGCUCUCGCUCUGGCUGCACCACCAGCUUGGUACGCUAUGGGGAGCGCACGCUGAGGCGGCCCUCCGCCGGGUCCGCUCCCCACCUCUCCCUUUACACAUCGUGUUCCGCAACGGGCUCCAAGGAAGGUCAUAUGACAUAGAGGAGAUGAGGCCAGGUGCUGUGCAAGGGCCCUCAUGAAUCCCUUAGCCCCUUAGGAGCGGGGGAGGGGGCAUUAAGUGCGAUAAACUGAGCCCUGCCUCCGCGCCCUGCUCUCGCCACCAACGGUGUUUCCACCCCAACACCCCGAGCCCCCGCCUGGGCCUGCGAGUUUGCACCGGCCCGGCGUCCCGCUUGCUGCAAUCGCCGCCGCGCCCCGGCCCCGGGACCUCGACAUUCGGCUCCACGCCUGAGGGCCGGCAGGUACGCCCCUGGACGGGAAUCGUUUCCAGAGGGCGAGCGCUUGCGAACCAAGUAAAGUAGAACUUGAAUGUAGUUGCUGCUGCCUCUUUGUGCCUGUCCCCAACCCCAGUGGCAAGGAACUUUUGCGUUGGCUGCCCGUAAUCACUGCCCGUUUUCCUAGUCCACGCUCCCUUUAAGUGCGGCAGCGUGGUCGCAAGGCUGCAAGAUACUGCACUGCGAUUGGCCAGUCCGC
Molecule: RNA transcript, 5224 nt
Organism: Sciurus carolinensis (gray squirrel)
Lineage: Eukaryota; Metazoa; Chordata; Mammalia; Rodentia; Sciuridae
Gene: Ajm1
Gene name: apical junction component 1 homolog
Exons: 4
Source: RefSeq, a predicted model, not a curated record